AUACAUUAUCAUAAAACUGUGGCCCUCCUAAAUUGGAUUAUCAUCAAGCAAACAAUCAUCUGUGUGGCAUCCAAUGUUGCUAUGGUGUCUUAAAUAGAAAAUACAUGCAAAUAUCUGCUCUUGCAUAUGUGCUCUACUAUAAAAGUUGAGAAUAAAGUAAGUUAAUAUUCUAAAGGGAAAUACCAACUAAAUAAACAACAUAAAAAAAAAUUAAAAAGAAAUAAGGCGUAGAUCAAUGCUACCAUUGAGGAACGUGAAUUAGCAGUCUAAUAACUAACAAGCAAAUAUUGAAAAUUCAGUAUCUGUACACAUUCAACUUCUGAUAGUAUCAAUAAAGCAAGUUCAUCUAUCUUGCCUUACAUCAUCAAGUAAUCAACCUAAAAGAAAGAAAUUCUUCCCCUAAAAGCUUAUAAAAACUCUAGUAAAAAACUAGGCACCCUCUAUUAUCUCUUUGUUUUCUCUUAUCAGGAUCAGUUAAUCAUCAACCCAGUAAAUCCCAUAAGCUGAACACCUAACUAGAACUCGGAAUCGCUUAAGUAACAAAUCAUAACAAAAAAUAAAAAUCAAAACUUUAACUCCAAAACAAUCAAACAGAUCAAUCUCAGAUCCAAAACAAAACCACCAAGGAAAAAACUCCACAACUACCAUAUCGAAAUCCACACCUUUCAAAAAGGUAAAACGCAGAAGAUAAAUAGAGCAUCAACAGUUCCACCAACAACAA
RNAcentral lists this unclassified non-coding RNA (721 nucleotides) under Hevea brasiliensis (rubber tree). The record is from RNAcentral. Lineage: Eukaryota; Viridiplantae; Streptophyta; Magnoliopsida; Malpighiales; Euphorbiaceae.